AUGUCUUCUAGUUCUAAACGCCCUGGUAAGAAGUAUAAAUCUGGGUAUGAAAAACGUACAAGGAAGAAAAAAGCUGAAAAUCUUAUUCAUUCUCUGAAGGGGUCUCUUGAUAAAUUUGUUGUGAAAGAACCACAAGUUUCUUCCGAAAAUCAGAAUAUAGAGGCUGAUGUUGAUGAUAAUGUUGACAACAUUCAGGUUGAGAAUACUAAUCCUGAUGAGGCUAACCUCCAUGGAAAUGUCGUUGGCGCUAGUGUUAAUGAAAACAUGGAUAGUUCAUCUAAUAAGAAUAACAUGGAUGCAUCUUCCGAUGGUAAUGUUUCUUUCCGGCCAGAUAUAUUUGAUCCAAGGAAUUGGGAUGCCCUUGACUCAAAAGCGAUUGACAUCUUGGUAGAAAAUGGUCCCAAAAGAGAUUUAACUAUAAAAAAAGGCCGGAAGGAUAAAAAUAAAAGAUGCUUUUCUUCGAUAUUUUACACAAGAGUUCUACCAAAUGGAGAGAAGUGUGAUAGAGAUUGGCUUGUAUACUCUAGAGAACUUGACAAGGUAUUCUGCUUUUGUUGCAAAUUAUUUCGAAAGGGGCAUGUAAAGGGUCAUUUUCCUAGUGAGGGUUUUAAUGAUUGGGCACAUAUUAGCAUUAGAAUUAGAGAGCACGAAACAAGUGCCAAACAUGUUCUGAAUAUGGUCACUUGGUAUGAUUUGCGACUACGGUUGCAAAAGCAUCAAACUAUUAAUUGUGUAGCGCAGCGACAACUUGAGAAAGAAAAGGACCAUUGGAGAAAAGUUCUAUUUAGAAUUCUUUUGAUGGUAAAAUUUCUUGCGAAACACAAUCUUGCAUUUCGUGGUACUAACUCGACAUUGUAUCAAGAUAAUAAUGGAAAUUUCUUAGGCUUGGUUGAAAUGCUAGCUGAGUUCGACCCAAUUAUUCAGGAGCAUGUUAGGCGCAUAACAAACAAUGAAACUCAUGUUCAUUACCUUGGUCAUGGGAUCCAAAAUGAGUUAAUACAUUUGCUUGCUUCUGCAAUUAAGUCAGAGAUAAUUAAAAAAAAUUAA
RNAcentral lists this ribosomal RNA (1047 nucleotides) under Triticum aestivum (bread wheat). RNAcentral's name for it is "partial small subunit ribosomal RNA". Lineage: Eukaryota; Viridiplantae; Streptophyta; Magnoliopsida; Poales; Poaceae. The record is from RNAcentral.